Molecule: ribosomal RNA, 257 nt
Filed under: uncultured bacterium
Lineage: Bacteria
Description: partial 16S ribosomal RNA
Source: RNAcentral
CUGCUGCCUUCCGUAGGAGUCUGGGCCGUGUCUCAGUCCCAAUGUGGCCGUUCAACCUCUCAGUCCGGCUACCGAUCGUUGACUUGGUGGGCCGUUACCCCGCCAACUAUCUAAUCGGACGCGAGCCCAUCUCCCAGCGGAUUGCUCCUUUGAUAUAUCUACCAUGUGAUAAAUAUAUAUUAUGCGGUAUUAGCGUUCGUUUCCAAACGUUAUCCCCCUCUGGAAGGCAGGUUGCUCACGUGUUACUCACCCGUCCG